This is a long non-coding RNA of Bos taurus (domestic cattle), 512 nucleotides long. The record is from Ensembl. NCBI's taxonomy places the organism in Eukaryota, Metazoa, Chordata, Mammalia, Artiodactyla, Bovidae.
GGAGCUGUACCUUAUCUGGGGCCCCAGGAAAAGUUCCAAGGAAGCAAGAUUCCUGUGGGUGCGGUUCACUGCAGCUGCACCUGGGAGAGACGUGAGCAGCCAUUCCGUGUCUGGAGCAUCUCUGAUCUGGUGGGAUGAAUGGCAGAGCCCUGGCGAAGAGAUUCUUUCCCCAUACAGGCAUAGGUUAUGGGUUGUUCUGACGUGUCUGGACAUCACUCCUGUGGCUGUUAAGUCCUCCCCAGCUGUUCCGAUGAACGACUGGCUUCCAGAAAUGCUCCUGCCCUCUGUGCCCACUCACCUGGCCUUGUGGCACAAACACACUGGCAGAGACUGGAUUGCAACUAUGAAUGUGGCCUGUGUCUUCGGCACAGAAAGUAUGCGGAAAUGCAGAAGAAACAGGAAACUUUCAAGAAAGACUAUUAGUAAUCAAAGCUGCUUUUUAUCUUUCUAUUCCCUUUAUAAUGAUAUUGCAAAACUGUUGUCAUAUAGAAAGGCAAUCCAAGAGUGCGCAG